This 314-nucleotide unclassified non-coding RNA is filed under the name Hevea brasiliensis (rubber tree). The record is from RNAcentral. Lineage: Eukaryota; Viridiplantae; Streptophyta; Magnoliopsida; Malpighiales; Euphorbiaceae.
GAUUUCAUGGACACUCAACGCUUGGUAACACAUGCUUUCAUGUCUUACAAGUAUGGGUUGAGAGCCCAGCACCUGGGUCUUCAUAAAGCAAUAUGCGUUUUGAUGGGGUGGAAUACUUAUGUGUCUUGUGAUACGAGAACUUGGGUUCCAGAUGUCUUGUCUAGUGCAGAAGCUUGGGCUCAGAAGGAGGAUCUGGUUAUCUGGCCUCCACUUGUUAUCAUCCACAAUAUCUCUAUGUCAAAUGUCAAUCCAGAUCAACAGAAGGUUGUGCCUAUUGAAGGGGUAGAAGCUUUUCUUAGAGGUAAAGGUUUUGU